UACGUAGGGUGCGAGCGUUGUCCGGAAUUACUGGGCGUAAAGAGCUCGUAGGUGGUUUGUCGCGUUGUUCGUGAAAUCUCACGGCUUAACUGUGAGCGUGCGGGCGAUACGGGCAGACUGGAGUACUGCAGGGGAGACUGGAAUUCCUGGUGUAGCGGUGGAAUGCGCAGAUAUCAGGAGGAACACCAGUGGCGAAGGCGGGUCUCUGGGCAGUAACUGACGCUGAGGAGCGAAAGCGUGGGGAGCGAACAGG
Molecule: ribosomal RNA, 253 nt
Filed under: uncultured bacterium
Lineage: Bacteria
Description: partial 16S ribosomal RNA
Rfam family: Bacterial small subunit ribosomal RNA
Source: RNAcentral